Molecule: long non-coding RNA, 384 nt
Filed under: Mytilus galloprovincialis (Mediterranean mussel)
Lineage: Eukaryota; Metazoa; Mollusca; Bivalvia; Mytilida; Mytilidae
Source: RNAcentral
CACAGAGAUCACCACAUAUAUUAAAGAAAAGUAUAUCGCCGAUCAAAACUUCAACACCUAUAUAUAUUAGACGUAAUCUGUUCACCCAAAAUCACGAAAUUUUCGAAACAAAAAGGGCAGAUAUACAGAAUUUAUUAUUCACGAACAUCGAUGUAAGCCAAGAUAAUCUCGAGGAAGACCAUAAGGAAGAGCAUGUAUUAGACAACGAAGAAGACAUAGAAGAAGUCACAGAAGAAGACCACGUAGUAGACCACGAGAAAGACCACAUGGAAGACAUUGAGGAAGAACAUAAAGUUUUUCAAAGUGCUUUAGAUAAACUCUCAGACGAAGGGAAAAGGGAAAGAUUUUUGAUUUUUUUUCAUUAGUGGACGUUUUCCUUUAAAC